This 73-nucleotide transfer RNA is filed under the name Allocoprobacillus halotolerans. RNAcentral's name for it is "Erysipelotrichaceae bacterium LH1062 tRNA-Gly". It matches the Rfam family "tRNA". Rfam says of the family: Transfer RNA (tRNA) molecules are approximately 80 nucleotides in length. Their secondary structure includes four short double-helical elements and three loops (D, anti-codon, and T loops). Lineage: Bacteria; Bacillati; Bacillota; Erysipelotrichia; Erysipelotrichales; Erysipelotrichaceae. The record is from RNAcentral.
GCGGUGUAGUUCAAUGGUAGAACUUCAGCCUUCCAAGCUGACUACGUGGGUUCGAUUCCCAUCACCCGCUCCA